GGCUCAUUAUAACAGCUAUAAUUUACUUGACCUUGACCAGUUACUUGGAUAACUGUGGUAAUUCUAGAGCUAAUACAUGCACCGAAGUUGUUCCUCGCGGAGCAAUGCAUUUAUUUGAGCAAAACCAGGCGGCUUCGGCCGUUUCUGUUGAAUCAGAAUAACUAAGCUGAUCGCAUGGGCUUGUCCCGGCGACGUGUCUUUCAAGUGUCUGCCUUAUCAACUUUCGAUGGUAGUGUACGUGACUACCAUGGUGUUGACGGGUAACGGAGGAUAAGGGUUCGACUCCGGAGAAGGGGCCUGAGAAAUGGCCACUACGUCUAAGGAUGGCAGCAGGCGCGCAAAUUACCCACUCUCGGUUCGAGGAGGUAGUGACGAAAAAUAACAAGGCCGUUCUCUUUGAGGCCGGCCAUUGGAAUGGGUACAACUUAAACCCUUUAACGAGUAUCAAUGAGAGGGCAAGUCUGGUGCCAGCAGCCGCGGUAAUUCCAGCUCUCAAAAUGCAUAGAACCAUUGCUGCGGUUAAAAAGCUCGUAGUUGGAUCUGUGCCGGCGACGUGGUCCGCCCUAACGGGCGGUACUGCGCUCGUCGGCUUUGGGCCGGUUUUCGGUCGGUCGCCUUCACUGGCGGCCGCUCGUGGCUGGCUGGUUUACUUUGAGCAAAUCAGAGUGCUCAGCACAGGCGUCUCGCCGGAAUGUUCGUGCAUGGAAUAAUAGAAAAGGAUUUCGGUCCUCUUUUAUUGGUUUUGUGGACUGAGAUAAUGGUUAACAGAGACGGACGGGGGCAUUCGUAUUGCUGCGUGAGAGGUGAAAUUCUUGGACCGCAGCAGGACGGA
RNAcentral lists this ribosomal RNA (832 nucleotides) under Paratylenchus sp. F SAS-2019. RNAcentral describes it as "SSU rRNA". It matches the Rfam family "Eukaryotic small subunit ribosomal RNA", at positions 95 to 939 of the family's 1831-position model. The record is from RNAcentral. Lineage: Eukaryota; Metazoa; Nematoda; Chromadorea; Rhabditida; Tylenchulidae.